UUUUGGCAUUCGAGCAUGCAAGAAGAGCUUUCAGGGUCGUCAAACCCGUCAAAGUUGGGCCUUGUCUCACAUAACAAACAAGCCUAUCAAACAUUUCAAUUUGUUAGAGCGGUAAGAAGCUCCUCACUGCUUUAACUAUGACUAGUAGAACGUUAGCAACUAGACUUAUCCUAAACAGAGUUUUCGUACAGACAAUUAUGCUGUUCUCCAAUGAUCAAGCUGAUGAAAACAUAAAAGAUAAUUUUACUGCAAAAAAGAAGCUAGAGAAGGAGAGACCACUGCUUGUACAUGGAAGAGAUGAUAAUAAUACAAAACUGUUGAUAUAUACAUGUGUAGAGGAAUCAUUUCACAAGGAACAUUUGUUGUAAUUUAGUACCUUGAUCGAAAUGUAAUAUGUAAAAUACAAGACAUAAUAAAUCUCAAUUGAAACUUUACAUGUAUUUUUUACAAGUUCUAUAUGCUAUCUAUAAAGGAUUAAGCGCUUAAGAUAAUUGAAUAAGAAUAACCACUAAGAAAACAACACAAUUUAAUGCAGUAGAAAUUCUUGGUCUUUGAUUAAACAUUCUAUGUUUCAUGAAUCUUCACCAUGUUGUUGUAAUAUAUGAAAGCCAUGUAUGAAGGUUAUAGCUUCUAGUUACAAAACAAGAGCUAGUUCUAAAAAUAAGAAGUACAAAGAAAACAUAACAAAGAGAUGAGAAGAGGACAUGCCUGAUACUGCUUCUGUCUGAAACCAAAGCUCAAAAAUCAUCUUCCGUGGAUGAUGUCUUGUUUUCUUUCUUUUCUUGUAACAGCUUUGUUGAAUGAUCUUGUUCUGUAAAACUAGAAAGAGCUUUUAGAGAGAGAGAGAGCAAAAUGAGUAGAGAUUCUG
This 868-nucleotide long non-coding RNA is filed under the name Brassica rapa (field mustard). RNAcentral's name for it is "long non-coding RNA (BRAP_LNC001799)". The record is from RNAcentral. Lineage: Eukaryota; Viridiplantae; Streptophyta; Magnoliopsida; Brassicales; Brassicaceae.